Pelobates cultripes (western spadefoot toad) is the source of this 242-nucleotide non-coding RNA. The record is from the annotation of a GenBank genome assembly. NCBI's taxonomy places the organism in Eukaryota, Metazoa, Chordata, Amphibia, Anura, Pelobatidae.
CGGGUGACACAGUGACAGAGUGAGGGAGCGGGUGACACAGUGACAGAGUUAGGGAGGGAGUGACUAGUGACAGAGAGAGGGAUGGGGUGACUAGUGACAGUCACCCCCCUCACUCUGUCACCAGUCAUCCCCUCACUCUGUCACUAGUCACCCCUUCCCUCCCUCACUUUGCCACUAGUCAUCUCUUCCCUCCCUCACUCUGCCACUAGUCACCCAUUCCCUCACUCUGUCACUAGUCACCC